UGGAGGUGCUGAAGGCCAAGUACAAGCCAUCCGGGUGGAAACCUGUAUUUGAAGGUCUGCACCGCGGGGCAAAGGGCCAGCUUGUUCCCUCUGCAACUGGAUGAGCUGAAUUGGCAGCAGACAACCAGCGUUUCUCAGGAAGCUGUACCAACAAGAUGCAAAAGGGAGAGGUGGAGCAGAGGAGGGCAGUUCAUGAGCUGAUUGUGCUAAGCCCUGUCAAAUAAUCCUUUAG
Molecule: long non-coding RNA, 232 nt
Filed under: Homo sapiens (human)
Lineage: Eukaryota; Metazoa; Chordata; Mammalia; Primates; Hominidae
Description: non-protein coding lnc-NAA35-17:1
Source: RNAcentral